Molecule: transfer RNA, 68 nt
Filed under: Mordellidae sp. GENSP02
Lineage: Eukaryota; Metazoa; Arthropoda; Insecta; Coleoptera; Mordellidae
Description: tRNA-Cys
Source: RNAcentral
GGUUUAAUAGUCAAUUAUGAUUUUAAAUUGCAAAUUUAAAGGUAAACACGAUUUAUGUUUUUAAACUU